This 76-nucleotide transfer RNA is filed under the name Gammaproteobacteria bacterium. Its description in RNAcentral is "tRNA-His". It matches the Rfam family "tRNA". Rfam says of the family: Transfer RNA (tRNA) molecules are approximately 80 nucleotides in length. Lineage: Bacteria; Pseudomonadati; Pseudomonadota; Gammaproteobacteria. The record is from RNAcentral.
GUGGGCGUAGCUCAGUUGGUAGAGCACAGGAUUGUGGCUCCUGAUGUCGUGGGUUCGAGUCCCAUCGCUCACCCCA